Non-coding RNA from Colinus virginianus (northern bobwhite), 67 nucleotides. NCBI's taxonomy places the organism in Eukaryota, Metazoa, Chordata, Aves, Galliformes, Odontophoridae. The record is from Rfam.
GCUGCCGGGGAUGAUUGGAUACCGCCCCAGACUGAGCGCAGUGCUGAGUGGUUCCCUCUGAGGCAGC